Molecule: long non-coding RNA, 2040 nt
Organism: Triticum aestivum (bread wheat)
Lineage: Eukaryota; Viridiplantae; Streptophyta; Magnoliopsida; Poales; Poaceae
Exons: 5
Source: RefSeq, a predicted model, not a curated record
AGCUGCCCUGCUCCCCCCCCCCCAACGCAGCUGCCCUGCUCCCCCGCUCCCCCGCCGCAGCUGCCUCCUGCUCCGCCACCGCAGCUGCCGCUCGCCUGCCUCCCCAAGCUUCCCCCUUCCUCAAAAAAACCUUCGAUUUCCCCAGCUACCGCCGUGCUCUGCUCCGGCUGCGUCGGAACCGGCAUCGGCGAGCCCGGAGGCACUGGAUCCGGACCACCACCAACAACCUAAAGGGCGACGAGGCCGACAAGCCCGACGACGACAGGAGAUGCAGCAAGCUAAACGCCGACGAGCCCAACGACGACGGCAAGCUAAAGGCCGUCGAUUUGCGAGCCUGGAAGACGACGACGAUAGCUCCACAAGGAAUACGAUCGCGGCGGCGUCUUCUUUGCUGUUUCUCUGGUGGAAGACCCGUGCCUGCGACACCGCGGCUGGGCUGUCCACGGCACAAGUGGGUCGCGCCUGCUCACUUGGCAGCAGCGGUGGCGGCUACAUGUUUUCUCCACUACUGCAGAUCAUCUCCAGGUCCUACUGCCUGGGUCUGAACCUCUCUUCUCUACUCUAUGUUUACUGAAUUUACUCCAUGUUUACUGAAUUUUCUCCACUACUCUAUGUUUACUGAACCACUAGUUUCUGAACCACUUCACUGAAUGUGAGAUGUACCACUGAAUUUCACUUCUGCUAGUACUCCAAGAAGACUAUGCCAACGGCAACCAAGUGGGCUUUGUUGAGUUCGUGCAAUGUUCCAAUUGAGGGAGGAGGUGGUAGACUGUUUGCAGAUGUGGUUGUCUUGAUGAGAUUCAGUUUGAUCAGACCAUCCCAAUGUCACUUUGCAAUUGUUCUGCUUCUUUUCUGAGCAUGGAGCUGACAGUUAUCUGGGAUGAUUGCAUUGCAACUGCCAUUUCCUGUGGAUAGCUUGUACGCCGACCCCGAGCGCAAGGCUUAGGAUGUCUUGGGCCUGUACCAUGGAUUAGGCCGCACACUCUUCAGUCCAGCCAGUAGAGAAAUAAUUCAGGAGGUGAAGACCAGGAGUUUUGUGACCCUCCAUUUAAAACAGGGCAAGCCACUUCAUCCACUUGCUUGAUGGCAAUUGCAAGGCCAUGGCUUCCAACUUGCAGAUUCACGCCGCUGGAUGACUUGCUCGGAGCAUCGGCGACUCCGCGGGCACCUCAACAAACUGCCCUUGUACCCAAUGGCACCGCAAAUCCAGUUGUCCCUUUGUCCCAUGGUUGUCCAAAACCUGAUGAUGGUUUUAACCAGCUAACCGGGUGAUACUGGACAAUUUUGAAAGUUUUAACAUGUUUCACAUAGUGCAGAGGAGUAGCAGCAAUAGCAGCACGGGCAGGAUCAGAGGAGAAGCAGCACGGGCAGGGUCAGAGGAGGAGCAGCAGCACGGGCGGGGGAGAAGGAGCAGCAGCAGCAGCACGGGCAGAUCUCCACCGGCGAGCUCCUGGUCCACCGGAUUGUGGAGGCAAGUUCCCGUGACGCCAGUAGGGGAUCGCGGCGGCGCACACGCGGGAGCUCCAGGAGAAUGCGCGGGAGCACGAGGGUGGACGCACACGAGCUUGAGGAGGAUGCGCGGGGGCUCCAAGAGGGAAGCGCGCGGCCUCGAGGAAGACGUGGCAGGAGAUUCCGGCGAAGCCCGCAGGCAGCAGGAGGAGACCACGGCGGCGCAGGUCUGGGCUGCGGCGGCAGAGGAGGUAAUUGGCGAAGGCGGCGAGAGCAGGUACUUGGCUACGGAGGAGGAGCUCAGCUGGGCUCGCCGGCCCCUGGCGAAUCACGCAGCUGGGCGGCGCCGGCCCCUGGCGAUGGGCAGGCGACGGGCAGAGGAAGAAGACGGGGCGGAGGGACUUGUUUGAAACGCUUUUGAAACCACGAGGUUUUUUUUGCAAAAUUACCAAUGAACUACGCCCACGACAUGUUUUUCGGGAUGGAGGGAGUAGUAGUUAUCUAAACGCUCUUAUAUUUCUUUACGAAGGGAGUACCAUAUCCCACGAUUGAUUGUAAAAAUACAUGGAACUGAAAUAUUUGCAUUCUGGU